UACGGAGGAUGCGAGCGUUAUCCGGAUUUAUUGGGUUUAAAGGGUGCGCAGGCGGCGCGGCAAGCCGGCGGUCAAAUCGCGGGGCUCAACCCCGCCCAGCCGUCGGAACUGCCGGGCUAGAGUGGGCGAGAAGUGCGCGGAAUGCGUGGUGUAGCGGUGAAAUGCAUAGAUAUCACGCAGAACUCCGAUUGCGAAGGCAGCGCACCGGCGCCCUACUGACGCUCAGGCACGAAAGCGUGGGUAUCGAACAGG
This 252-nucleotide ribosomal RNA is filed under the name uncultured bacterium. RNAcentral describes it as "partial 16S ribosomal RNA". It matches the Rfam family "Bacterial small subunit ribosomal RNA", at positions 524 to 776 of the family's 1533-position model. The record is from RNAcentral.